Molecule: non-coding RNA, 26 nt
Filed under: Rattus norvegicus (Norway rat)
Lineage: Eukaryota; Metazoa; Chordata; Mammalia; Rodentia; Muridae
Source: RNAcentral
GAGCCAAUUUUCUCAGUUGAGGGUCC